CACUCACAAGGUCAGAAUUAAUGUGGAAGGAGAUAGCAGAAUUUAAGAGAAUUUGAAAGGCUUUGGCUGCUGAAAGUUGAUGAAAGAUUGUUGACUACAUUAGCAGAGAGAGAGAUGAACCAGAAAUGAACUGAUUAGCCCUGUGGGGCCCCAGCAUGAUGCGGGGCCAAGCAAGCGUCAUUGCUUAGUCACUAAGUCAUGUCUCACUCUGCAACCCCAUGAACUGUAGCUCCCCAGGAUCCUCUAUCCGUGGGAUUUCCCGGUCAAGAGUACUGGGGUGGAUUGCUGUUUCCUUCUCCAGGAGAUCUUCCCAACCCAGAGAUCAAAGCCAUGCAUUGCAGGUGGAUUCUUUGCUGCUGAGCCACCUGGGAAACCCUCAAGCAAGGGUACCAGGUUGGAAAUGGGGGAACCAGACUCCAGUCUUCUCCCUGUGUUCUGCACAGCCAGGAAAAAAUCCUCUUUGCCACCUCCCCUUGUAAGGAGCUGGACAUCGCCUGGAGCAGUCGAGCCAGGUAGGCUCCAGACGUGGGGACACCAGGCAGAACAGAGAGCUCUGAAAGGUACAGGUCUAAAAGGGGGGAGGGAUGAAGUGAGCUGCCCUCCAGAGUGCCCAGCCCACCAGCACCUGCAAGGCUCCUGGAAUGCCCAGGACCAGGCAUCUGUCCCCAAGACAGAUGACUGGAACAUUCAUUCUUCAUUGGAAAAACUGGCUUCAGAGAAAAGACCUCCACAUAUUUCUCAAUGUAAAGACUGUAUCACUGUUCCAACAUCCUACAAUGGCACAGAUCAGUGUGUACUGGGCCUUUGCGCACACGCACACACACAUGCGCGCGCGCACACACACACACACAAAGAGCACAGACAGCCAGGACCCCUCAGACAGCAAAGCUUCCAACAAAUAAAAGAAACUAGAUAUGAAUUUCCCCAGGCCUUUGCUUCACUAGUCCUAACAAACUCCCCUAUUUGCAAAUAUAAUAGCUUUAAAAAAAAAAGUUUCAAGGAAGAGUCCAAAUCAACCGGCCAAAGAGAAGAAUGAGAGAUAGAGACAAUGUAGGAAAGAGAAGAGCAUUAAAAACAACCCUCCCAC
This is a long non-coding RNA of Bos taurus (domestic cattle), 1087 nucleotides long. Lineage: Eukaryota; Metazoa; Chordata; Mammalia; Artiodactyla; Bovidae. The record is from Ensembl.